UACGUAGGUGACAAGCGUUGUCCGGAAUUAUUGGGCGUAAAGCGCGCGCAGGUGGUUUCUUAAGUCUGAUGUGAAAGCCCACGGCUCAACCGUGGAGGGUCAUUGGAAACUGGGGAACUUGAGUGCAGGAGAGAAGAGUGGAAUUCCACGUGUAGCGGUGAAAUGCGUAGAGAUGUGGAGGAACACCAGUGGCGAAGGCGACUCUUUGGCCUGUAACUGACACUGAGACGCGAAAGCGUGGGGAGCGAACAGG
This 253-nucleotide ribosomal RNA is filed under the name uncultured bacterium. Its description in RNAcentral is "partial 16S ribosomal RNA". It matches the Rfam family "Bacterial small subunit ribosomal RNA", at positions 524 to 776 of the family's 1533-position model. The record is from RNAcentral.